UACUGAUGAUGUGGACAGUCCUGAAGAAAAGCUUUGAACCUCUCUCAUGCAUGAUAUAAGUUUUCACCUAGCUUCUGUUUAAAGCUCACAAUCUUACUGUGCAGUUU
This 107-nucleotide small nucleolar RNA is filed under the name Capsicum annuum. RNAcentral's name for it is "Plant small nucleolar RNA R71". It matches the Rfam family "Plant small nucleolar RNA R71". Rfam says of the family: R71 is a member of the C/D box family of snoRNAs containing the C (UGAUGA) and D (CUGA) box motifs. Multiple nearly identical copies of this snoRNA have been identified in Arabidopsis, and it is thought to function as a 2'-O-ribose methylation guide for 18S ribosomal RNA. Lineage: Eukaryota; Viridiplantae; Streptophyta; Magnoliopsida; Solanales; Solanaceae. The record is from Rfam by way of RNAcentral.